CCUACGGGAGGCAGCAGUGAGGAAUAUUGGUCAAUGGACGAGAGUCUGAACCAGCCAAGUAGCGUGAAGGAUGACUGCCCUAUGGGUUGUAAACUUCUUUUAUAGGGGAAUAAACCGUUUCACGUGUGGGUUUUUGCAUGUACCUUAUGAAUAAGGAUCGGCUAACUCCGUGCCAGCAGCCGCGGUAAUACGGAGGAUCCGAGCGUUAUCCGGAUUUAUUGGGUUUAAAGGGUGCGCAGGCGGAAGUUCAAGUCAGCGGUAAAAUUGGGGGGCUCAACCCAUUCGGGCCGUUGAAACUGGUGGUCUUGAGUGCGCGGGAAGUAGGCGGAAUGCGUGGUGUAGCGGUGAAAUGCAUAGAUAUCACGCAGAACUCCGAUUGCGAAGGCAGCAUACCGGCGCGCGACUGACGCUCAUGCACGAAAGUGUGGGUAUCGAACAGGAUUAGAUACCCCAGUAGUC
This 459-nucleotide ribosomal RNA is filed under the name uncultured bacterium. Its description in RNAcentral is "partial 16S ribosomal RNA". It matches the Rfam family "Bacterial small subunit ribosomal RNA", at positions 338 to 795 of the family's 1533-position model. The record is from RNAcentral.